UGGAAAAGACGGCAAGGUUGACUAUAGCGUUGCUUCUUUGGUCAAUAUCGUGAAAUUUACAGCCUGCUUCCGGCGAUGAUUUAGGAUCAAAGUUACACACUUAUAUACUAGAUUAAUGGAAAUAAGUAACGCGCACUCAAACUUCAACGUAAUAGUGUGAAAAUGAAAUAAUUUGGAUACAAGGUGAGGCAUAAAAAUGUUAAAAAUUCAUGUAAUUUUUCUAAAAUAUUUUGAGUUUGAAAUGCUAUUGUAUUACACUAAAAUUCGUUUUAUUUUGUGUCGUGCAACUGUGAAUUAACGUCAUUCAAAUCUGGUUAGUAUAAAAGCAAAUCAACUUAAUUUUUGUUGAACAGGUAUUAGGACAUAUUUAUUUAUUCAGUAUUCUAGAAUUUCCCAGUAAUGUAAGUCCAUUGUACCACUUAUAAUUAAUACAUGUAUUUUGUAGAGAAGUUGACGAUACUGUAUAUUAUGUUGUCUAGGUUUUCAAAAUCAGAAACGAAGCAAGAAGAACUUUUCUGAGGCUUAAGUGUUGGAGUUCAGUUGUGAUUGUCAUGCCCUAGGAUAUGCUAAUGGAUUGAUGGAGAAGAACGUCUGGAUUCAGAUACAGAAAGUUUCAUGGCAGACAUGUACUCAUUUAAAGCAAGUGAAAACCUUGAAAAGUACGAACAACUAAACCAAGAAUUAGGAUACACAUCAUGGGAUAUUGACGUCAGUGGAAACAAAAUGUUUGUACUAGUUGAUCGCAGGAAUAUUAAUGACAAAGUUAAAAGACAUUCAGUGAUAGGGAUGAAGUGGAGGCCUUAUCGAUAAACAAAGAGUCCCCAGUUCAGGAAAUGGUACAGCGCUGAGAGUAUUUUGAAAGUUAAGAAAGGUGAAAUGUAUAAAAAGAGAUUUCAUGAAGAUGGUUCCUAGUAAGUCCGGAAUAUGGCUCGUAUUCGAAGAAUAAUUGUGAUUGUUUGUAAAAGCAGUUUACAUGAAAUAUAGUUUGAGCUUUUAAUCAAAAUGUUGUUCUUUCAUUAUAUUCAACGGAUGUUUUUUUGUAGUGCAAGUUAGCAUAACCUUAAAAAGAUGCAGGUAAACCUGUGUUAAAGACCACCUCUGAACAGAGGCCACCUGACUCUAAAGACCACAUGUUUUGUUUCCAGUUUUAACAUUUAUUUAGCCUGUGACUACCUCCAAAUAAAGACCACAUUUUGGCUCUACCUAAUCUUGUCUUUAUAGACAGGUUUGAAAGUAUAUGUAAAAGUACACUCGAAGUUUUAUCUAGCAUAAGUGCAGUGACUGACCCAUAAAUUUUGGUCUGUCCGUUUGUCUCUCUGUAUGUCACAAAGUUUAAAUGUGCAUAUCAUGUGAAACAGCAAUGCGGAUUCACACCAGUUCAUUGUUUUGUGAUCAGAGUUUUAUAAUACUUUAUAUUCUAAUGGGCCCGCUUUUACCAAACUUUACAUGACUGGCCAGUGCCUAUAAUUUUCAUUGGAGUUAUGGCCCUUAAUUUGUCAUAUCUUACCCCGUAUUGGCAAGCUCAUUUUAAGCGAUAUCUAUAUACUAGCACGUGUUUAUACCAAGCUGCGAAAUCUCUAUAUUCAUGUAGUUAUCAUGUACAUUUUUUCGCUGAUGAAGUAAAUGUAAUAAAUAUACACUUUUAUUUAAUAAUAAUAUAUAUUUAUCCACAAUUCAAGUGUAGACCUGUACCAUUGAAAAGCAUUACUGAGCAGACAUAUUUCAUCCAUUUACUUUCAUAAUCUACUAAAACAGAUGUUAUAAGCAAUGUAAUUGUACCCUGGCAGUGCAGUGGAUAUAAUAUCAUAAUAAGAGUAUGGUUACAAUACAUUCCAGAACUCGAAAACUAUUCGGUGUGAUAUAACUGUUGAAAAGCAGAGUGGGGCACGCGAAGUCUUACUCCACCAAAGAAGGCUGAAAAAUCGCCAUAUGAACUUAAUUUCUGCGAUGUGACCAAACAAAGAAUUAACUGGAAAAAAAAAAGAAAUUAAAUGGCGAUUUUAUCGCAAGAAAGUAAACAGUUAAUAACUCCAAAUAUUCCCUAUCAGUUAAUUUUCUUUCAAGGAUGACGUGAACUAACGUGUUUUAUUUAUUAUUAUUUUUUUUUUUUUGCAGCGUUUCAGCGGAAUUACGCUAUUCUCAAACUUGAAAAUAAUUUCCUCAUUCAAAAUGUUAUACUUGUCCGAUCCGCUUUUCAUGUGUUGGAGUAAGCGAAUUAUUUUAACAUACAAUUAUUCCCUAACUAGCAAACGUGUGCUAUUUACACUUUAUUCCAAGGGUUUAUAUCCUAUUCGCUCUUAGCGAAAUUUCGUUAAGAGGAGGACGUUGCACUGCAAAUAUACUCUUUCCUCAGAAUGCCUUAGCGAAAUUACGCUAUCUAUAGAUUGGAUGAACAAUAAACUUUAUAGUAUUGUUUGCGAGGAACAUUGUAUAAACGUUGAUGAUUAUUCUUGUCUAAGAAGAAAGUAACGAAUUCCUUCGAUACGUACAUACAUUAGAACUCUAAACGAAGUAGCAACAGUCUCGAUUUUAAUGGUUAAGUUCUGCAUUUUUAUGGCAAAUUGAUAAUACCGCUUAACGAUGUUGUAAAAGUAAAGAAAACAUUAUUCCAAAAUGUCAGGAUAAAACGAUUUGUAUACCAAAUUGGCAUGUUUUUGACAUAACUUGACAGUUUGGAAACUGUCAACUGCAAAUGGAA
Mercenaria mercenaria is the source of this 2698-nucleotide long non-coding RNA. RefSeq lists it as uncharacterized. Lineage: Eukaryota; Metazoa; Mollusca; Bivalvia; Venerida; Veneridae. The transcript has 5 exons. The record is from RefSeq and is a predicted model, not a curated record.